Molecule: long non-coding RNA, 1388 nt
Filed under: Sus scrofa (pig)
Lineage: Eukaryota; Metazoa; Chordata; Mammalia; Artiodactyla; Suidae
Description: lncRNA (ENSSSCG00005004104.1)
Source: RNAcentral
AUGGAAAUGAAACCACCAGCUCCUCCCCAGACUGUGAGGCUUGAUGGACGCGAGCUUAAUGAACCCAGGAUAAAGGAAUUAGCCCAAGCAGAAGGCAGAAAAAGCAUUAAGAGACUCCCUCGGACCGUCAACCCCCUUCUGGUAUCCUCGGCCACACCAUGUCCCCAGAUGUACUGCUUCUUUCUAGAAUUAACAAAAAAGUCUGAGAAGCUAAAUUUAACUUGCAUACCCUGGAAAAACGGUAAACUUCAGGUCACCAAGCCCAGCAUCUCACAGGUGUCUUACCCAACAACAGCCCUCUGCUUCUAACCACACAAAGGGGCCCAGGACCACACACAUUUAGGACACUGAACAUGCUUUAUCUUCUUCUUGGGGACUCCUAACCUUAACGCAUCAAAUCCUGGAGCACGGAAGACGUUUUCUUGAUGGAGGAGAGGGUCUUUCCUUCGCAGGCAGCGGCCCCGCCUCCUCCUCGUGAAACGAGCUAAUCCACGUAAGAGGACUUAAAGCGGGUUCUAUAUAAGCAAUGAGAAUCGUGCUCCCAUCAUCUCCACCUGAAAACAAGGCUCCCAGAGCACACGGGGUUGCACGGGCAGCCAGGCGUGGGCCAAACUUCCAGAAACCCCUAGGUACCAGCGAAAAGGCUGGCUGGGAAAAAGGCAGAGAUUUUCAAUCGGGCAGUUACAGGUCAGGCUCUACCUAACCUUUCUGUGUCUCCGUUAUUUCAUCAUAAGAUGAGGACUAGAUAGGCCCUUCCUCUUACGUGUGUGGCGACUCAGGGAGCAAAGAGCUCAGCAGGUGUGGGCUGUUAUCCUCAGAAGGUCAAGGGACGGCACCUGCCCAACUCAGGGCUGUGACCCCACCCAGGAAACCAUUAACUUCCCCAAAGGCAUCCCAGAAGCCAUUCUGGGGACGAGUAAAACUUCUUCAUUUAUUUGGUCCAAACAUAUUUGUAAGGUUAAUCUUCUCAUUCCUUCUGGGGUGGAGACGGGGUGUCUGUUGAAGCAGCAAUAAAGGAAGGAAUUGACUGGAUGAAAAAGCCUCUGGAGAAGAGUGAAGGAAAUCUCUGGAAAAGGCCACAGACGACUCCCUCCCCUUUGCAGGAGCGCGUCUGAGAUGUGACCUCUGCNNNNNNNNNNNNNNNNNNNNNNNNNNNNNNNNNNNNNNNNNUGGCAAGGUGGCCAUGGGCCAAGCGAGGGCAGGCAUGUCAAGGUGAAAAUGGGUACAUAUAAGGGACACUACUCAUUUCUCAGGAUUCCACAUAAUCCUUUACAUGAAUUCGACCUGCUUCCAUUCCAGUAACUGUCUCAUUCCAUAACUGUUUAAUCUGAAGGCGUAAGAGAUAUUUCUCUGGAAAAAUACUGAGCAAUCAGAAGCCCUUCCCUCUU